UACGGAGGGGGCGAGCGUUGUCCGAAGUUACUGGGCGUAAAGCGUGCGCAGGCGGUUCGUUGUGUCGGCGGUGAAAGCCCCGGGCUUAACCUGGGAAUGGCCGUUGAAACUGGCGAACUGGAGUGUGGCAGAGGGGGGUGGAAUUCCGCGUGUAGCAGUGAAAUGCGUAGAGAUGCGGAGGAACACCGAUGGCGAAGGCAGCCCCCUGGGCUAACACUGACGCUCAGGCACGAAAGCGUGGGGAGCAAACAGG
This 253-nucleotide ribosomal RNA is filed under the name uncultured bacterium. Its description in RNAcentral is "partial 16S ribosomal RNA". It matches the Rfam family "Bacterial small subunit ribosomal RNA", at positions 524 to 776 of the family's 1533-position model. The record is from RNAcentral.